GCGGCGAGGCGGGCUGGUACAUGGCGGGCUCUGUGGGACUGGAGUUGUGCGAACAGACGCUGGUGGUGCGGGGCGGCAGCCGAUUCCUGGCCACCUCCACAGCAAGCAGUGAUGAUGACAGCCUUUUCAUCUAUGACUGCAGUGCUGCAGAAAAGAAGUCACAAGAAAAUAAAGGGGAGGACGCGCCCUUGGACCAGGGGAGCGGUGCGAUUCUGGCGUCCACCUUCUCCAAGUCUGGCAGCUAUUUUGCUUUAACCGAUGACAGACCGUGGCAAGGAGGUGUACAGCCCUGACCUUCACAGCCUCGGAGGAGAAGGUCUUGGUGGCCGACAAGUCUGGAGACGUCUACUCCUUUUCGGUGCUGGAGCCACACAGGUGUGGCCGUCUAGAGCUGGGGCACCUGUCUAUGCUGUUAGAUGUGGCUGUGAGUCCUGACGACUGCUUCAUCCUCACUGCCGACCGGGACGAGAAGAUCCGAGUCAGCUGGGCGGCGGCGCCCCACAGCAUCGAGUCCUUCUGCUUGGGGCACACAGAGUUUGUGAGCCGCAUCUCCCUGGUGCCAACUCAGCCCGGGCUGCUUCUGUCCUCCUCUGGGGAUGGCACCCUGAGGCUCUGGGAGUACAGGAGCGGCCGCCAGCUGCACUGCUGUCACCUGGCCAGUCUGCAGGAGCUGGUGGACCCCCAGGCCCCCCAGAGGUUUGCCGCGUCCAGGAUUGCGUUCUGGUGCCAGGAGAACUGCGUGGCGCUCCUGUGCGACGG
Molecule: small RNA, 759 nt
Filed under: Pongo abelii (Sumatran orangutan)
Lineage: Eukaryota; Metazoa; Chordata; Mammalia; Primates; Hominidae
Description: processed transcript
Source: RNAcentral